RNAcentral lists this ribosomal RNA (495 nucleotides) under Metaphire sp. YN201739-07. RNAcentral describes it as "partial large subunit ribosomal RNA". It matches the Rfam family "Bacterial large subunit ribosomal RNA", at positions 1810 to 2607 of the family's 2925-position model. Lineage: Eukaryota; Metazoa; Annelida; Clitellata; Crassiclitellata; Megascolecidae. The record is from RNAcentral.
AAAACAUUGUCUCAUGAAAUAAAUAUGAGAUAAUACCUGCCCAGUGACGUUGUUCAACGGCCGCGGUAUCCUAACCGUGCAAAGGUAGCAUAAUCACUUGCCUAUUAAUUGUAGGCUAGAAUGAAGGGGUUAACGAAAUAAAAGCUGUCUCAAUUAAUCACCUAAAAAUUAUUCUCUACCUUAAGAAACGUAGAUACUCUCGAAGGACAAGAAGACCCUAUAGAGCUUAAUUUAAAUUAUAGAUACACUAUAAAAUAAUUCGGUUGGGGCGACCCAGGGCUUAAUAAUCACCCAUCAAACAAAAGAUAAAUACAUCAAACAAGUGACCCUAUUAAGAUCAUUAAAUCAAGCUACCUUAGGGAUAACAGGCUAAUCCCACUUAAGAGUUCUUAUCAAAAGUGGGGUUUGGCACCUCGAUGUUGGCUUAGGGUAUCUAUAUAGCGCAAAAGCUACAUAAAGAUGGUUUGUUCAACCAGUAAUUCCCUACGUGAUCUG